GAUGAACGCUGGCGGCGUGCCUAAUACAUGCAAGUCGAGCGAACAGACGAGGAGCUUGCUCCUCUGACGUUAGCGGCGGACGGGUGAGUAACACGUGGAUAACCUACCUAUAAGACUGGGAUAACUUCGGGAAACCGGAGCUAAUACCGGAUAAUAUAUUGAACCGCAUGGUUCAAUAGUGAAAGACGGUUUUGCUGUCACUUAUAGAUGGAUCCGCGCCGCAUUAGCUAGUUGGUAAGGUAACGGCUUACCAAGGCGACGAUGCGUAGCCGACCUGAGAGGGUGAUCGGCCACACUGGAACUGAGACACGGUCCAGACUCCUACGGGAGGCAGCAGUAGGGAAUCUUCCCCAAUGGGCGAAAGCCUGACGGAGCAACGCCGCGUGGGUGAUGAAGGUCUUCGGAUCGUAAAACUCUGCUAUUAGGGAAGAACAAAUGUGUAAGUAACUAUGCACGUCUUGACGGUACCUUAUCAGAAAGCCACGGCUAACUACGUG
RNAcentral lists this ribosomal RNA (497 nucleotides) under uncultured bacterium. RNAcentral's name for it is "partial 16S ribosomal RNA". It matches the Rfam family "Bacterial small subunit ribosomal RNA", at positions 28 to 507 of the family's 1533-position model. The record is from RNAcentral.